This 426-nucleotide ribosomal RNA is filed under the name uncultured bacterium. Its description in RNAcentral is "partial 16S ribosomal RNA". It matches the Rfam family "Bacterial small subunit ribosomal RNA", at positions 354 to 796 of the family's 1533-position model. The record is from RNAcentral.
GUGAGGAAUUUUCCGCAAUGGGCGAAAGCCUGACGGAGCAAUGCCGCGUGAAGGAUGAAGGCCUAUGGGUUGUAAACUUCUUUUCUCAGAAAAGAAUUAUGACGGUAUCUGAGGAAUAAGCAUCGGCUAACUCUGUGCCAGCAGCCGCGGUAAGACAGAGGAUGCAAGCGUUAUCAGGAAUGAUUUGGCGUAAAGCGUCUGUAGGUUGUUUAAAAAGUAUUCUGUCAAAGAUUAGGGCUUAACCUUAGAUAGGCAGAAUAAACUUUUAAGCUAGAGUUUGGUAGAGGCAGAGGGAGUUCCCGGUGGAGCGGUGAGAUGCGUAGAUAUCGGGAGGAACACCAAAGGCGAAGGCACUCUGCUGGGCCAAUACUAACACAGAGAGACGAAAGCGAGGGGAGCAAAUGGGAUUAGAUACCCCGGUAGUCC